This is a non-coding RNA of Cricetulus griseus (Chinese hamster), 963 nucleotides long. The record is from RefSeq and is a predicted model, not a curated record. NCBI's taxonomy places the organism in Eukaryota, Metazoa, Chordata, Mammalia, Rodentia, Cricetidae.
CCAGGGAGAGAACAGGAGUUUAGAUUUAAAGGUUUCUCUUUUUGUCUAAGAACCUGAAGGAUCUUCAUGUGCUUGAUAGGAUGUAUAAAAUGUCUCUAGGAAUGAAAUCAUAGAGUGUUUGGGAUUUUCAUUUUUUAUGUGUUUUGAGGAUAAAAGCAGGCUCUCAGGAAAGUCAGAGAAAAGGGCCUUCAUAAUCACAGAGCAAGAGGUAGGCAAAGUAGUGACUGGAAAGAGAAGCUGUUCUGCAGUGACAUCCCAGCCCCAUAGACCCUGACUCCAAGAAGGACGAUGAGAUUGUGAGUGACAGAUAAUCACUUCAUUUACCUCUCAGGUCUCUGGAGACUGUUCUCAUGGAGAGUCUCAUUGAGGAGCUCCUCGGGGAUGUUUUUCCCCUUAAUGGUUUGAUGUCUUCAUAGUAAACAUGGUGAAAAUUAGUUUUACUUUGUCCCCUAAAUGUAGAACCUUAUGGAUUUCUUUUUAAUCAUUGCUGGCAACCAGCUCUGCAUGACAGCACUGCACACAAAUACCGUGGAUGAUGAUGAGUGAAUUGAGGAAUGCGGGUUGCAUUGUACUGAAAGGCCAGGCAUCCUUUCCACAUUCCAGUCAGAGGAGUGGAAUCACAGGCACACCAUCUCUCCACAAUGCGUUGAUUGUGAAGAGAGACAGAGCUCUCCUUUCAAAGAGGCUUUCCAAAUAACACCCCUCCCCCUCAGUUCUGAGGUGCUGCAAACGAAGGAAUCAUCGAAUACCUUCCUGUCUCUGAAUCAGGACAUCAGGAAGAAAAGAAGAGUGCAAGGAACAUUGCAGCAUAAGCCUUUUCUCCUUUCGGAAGUUUUCUGGAACCUUCCUUGAUGGAUUCUUAAACACCUGACAUCUUUAUUUGUAAAAUACUUUUCAUGGGUGUGUAUAUUCAGUAGAGUACUUUGCCAUCCCAAAUGAAAUUAGAAGUCAGUUAGGAGAUAA